RNAcentral lists this ribosomal RNA (1045 nucleotides) under Epicoccum nigrum. RNAcentral's name for it is "partial large subunit ribosomal RNA". It matches the Rfam family "Eukaryotic large subunit ribosomal RNA", at positions 68 to 1129 of the family's 3401-position model. Lineage: Eukaryota; Fungi; Ascomycota; Dothideomycetes; Pleosporales; Didymellaceae. The record is from RNAcentral.
ACAGGGAUUGCCCUAGUAACGGCGAGUGAAGCGGCAACAGCUCAAAUUUGAAAUCUGGCGUCUUUGGCGUCCGAGUUGUAAUUUGCAGAGGGCGCUUUGGCAUUGGCAGCGGUCCAAGUUCCUUGGAACAGGACGUCACAGAGGGUGAGAAUCCCGUACGUGGUCGCUAGCCUUUACCGUGUAAAGCCCCUUCGACGAGUCGAGUUGUUUGGGAAUGCAGCUCUAAAUGGGAGGUAAAUUUCUUCUAAAGCUAAAUACUGGCCAGAGACCGAUAGCGCACAAGUAGAGUGAUCGAAAGAUGAAAAGCACUUUGGAAAGAGAGUUAAAAAGCACGUGAAAUUGUUGAAAGGGAAGCGCUUGCAGCCAGACUUGCCUGUAGUUGCUCAUCCGGGUUUUUACCCGGUGCACUCUUCUACGGGCAGGCCAGCAUCAGUUUGGGCGGUUGGAUAAAGGUCUCUGUCAUGUACCUCCUCUCGGGGAGAUCUUAUAGGGGAGACGACAUGCAACCAGCCUGGACUGAGGUCCGCGCAUCUGCUAGGAUGCUGGCGUAAUGGCUGUAAGCGGCCCGUCUUGAAACACGGACCAAGGAGUCUAACAUCUAUGCGAGUGUUUGGGUGUCAAGCCCGAACGCGUAAUGAAAGUGAACGGAGGUGGGAACCUUUCGGGGUGCACCAUCGACCGAUCCUGAUGUCUUCGGAUGGAUUUGAGUAAGAGCAUAGCUGUUGGGACCCGAAAGAUGGUGAACUAUGCUUGAAUAGGGUGAAGCCAGAGGAAACUCUGGUGGAGGCUCGCAGCGGUUCUGACGUGCAAAUCGAUCGUCAAAUUUGGGCAUAGGGGCCGAAGACUAAUCGAACCUAUCUAGUAGCUGGUUCCUGCCGAAGUUUCCUCAGGAUAGCAGUAACGGUUUUCAGUUUAUGAGGUAAAGCGAAUGAUAGAGGCCUGGGGUUGAACAACCUUCACCUAAUCCUCAAACUUUAAAUAUGUAAGACGUCCUGCUACCUUACUCGAACGGUGACCAGAUCGAAUGUAAUCCGUUAACUAGUGG